CCCAAAAAGGAUGAAUCAAACCCAGUUACUGCAGAAUAUAACUUUCCAAUAUCACAAAACUAUCAUAAACCUCCAUUAAGUAUUUUCUUAAGGUAGGCCUCAUCCUCCUAGAGAAGGCCUACAAAAAUGUGAUUUGAGUAUGCUAUAAUAUUGCCAGAGGGCCAGCAAAAUCUUCACUAGAUGCAAUAUAAUUUGGCCAGAUGUAUUAGAGGACAUACUUUUUUGAUUUUUACAGUUUCUGAAGGCAAAAAAAAAAAUUUGAAAUUAUAUAAUAAGGGUGUUUGGAAAAACAAGAAUAGCAUUAUACAUCUGACCUAAAAGAUGAGAUUACAUUUGUAAUGUUUAGAAAUUGCCCUCCAAAUUUGGGAUCCAAGUGAAUAGCUUACUAUAACUGCUGAUAGAAAAGGUAUGGCACAUCCCAAGAGAACAAAGAUGGUCACAGGGCCUCUGGCCAUCUACUCCAUCCUAUACAUGAAAGGAUUAUGCAUUCUAAUACGUCCAACAUGUAGCACUAGUAACAAAUACUGUAUCAAAGAAUAAGCAUUUGAUUUCUGAGAAUUUGCUAUGGGGGAAAAAAAAGCAAAAGCUUGUAAACAAUUGGAUGAGAAUACAACAGAUAAUUAUGCCCAGGAACAUCUAACUUUAAUUAGUUCCAGACCCUCUCCUCUAUGGGUGACUGAAGCAAAGCAAGAGAGACACAAUGAUAACUAUGUGACAUAUGUAAACAGGAGUCAAAACCAGGGUGAACAGCAGCUGGCAGUUGGUGAUUGUUGGUUUCAAAAUCAAUAGCACAUUUGCAUCUAAAAAGGUAUUUGGUGGGGUUAGGAUCAGAAGGAUGAAGCCGUAUUUGUUGUCAGUGUGCUAGUCAGUACAGACAUCAGCGGAGUCAGAGGUAAAGGACAAGACCAUACAAAAUACUGAAAAGGUCAAUAGAAAUGUAACAAAAGGAAUAA
Phascolarctos cinereus (koala) is the source of this 953-nucleotide non-coding RNA. The record is from RefSeq and is a predicted model, not a curated record. NCBI's taxonomy places the organism in Eukaryota, Metazoa, Chordata, Mammalia, Diprotodontia, Phascolarctidae.